AGAGUUUGAUCAUGGCUCAGGAUGAACGCUAGCUACAGGCUUAACACAUGCAAGUCGAGGGGAAACGACAUCGAAAGCUUGCUUUUGAUGGGCGUCGACCGGCGCACGGGUGAGUAACGCGUAUCCAACCUGCCCACCACUUGGGGAUAACCUUGCGAAAGUAAGACUAAUACCCAAAUGACGUCUCUAGAAGACAUCUGAAAGAGAUUAAAAGAUUUAUCGGUGAUGGAUGGGGAUGCGUCUGAUUAGCUUGUUGGCGGGGUAACGCCACAAGGCGACGAUCAGUAGGGGUUCUGAGAGAAGGUCCCCCANAUUGGAACUGAGACACGGUCCAAACUCCUACGGGAGCA
This 350-nucleotide ribosomal RNA is filed under the name uncultured bacterium. RNAcentral describes it as "bacterial SSU rRNA". It matches the Rfam family "Bacterial small subunit ribosomal RNA", at positions 8 to 349 of the family's 1533-position model. The record is from RNAcentral.